AUUGAACGCUGGCGGCAUGCUUUACACAUGCAAGUCGAACGGUAACAGGCCGCAAGGUGCUGACGAGUGGCGAACGGGUGAGUAAUGCAUCGGAACGUGCCCAGUCGUGGGGGAUAACACAGCGAAAGCUGUGCUAAUACCGCAUACGAUCUAUGGAUGAAAGCGGGGGACCGUAAGGCCUCGUGCGAUUGGAGCGGCCGAUGUCAGAUUAGGUAGUUGGUGGGGUAAAGGCCCACCAAGCCAACGAUCUGUAGCUGGUCUGAGAGGACGACCAGCCACACUGGGACUGAGACACGGCCCAGACUCCUACGGGAGGCAGCAGUGGGGAAUUUUGGACAAUGGGCGCAAGCCUGAUCCAGCAAUGCCGCGUGCAGGAAGAAGGCCUUCGGGUUGUAAACUGCUUUUGUACGGAACGAAACGGUCUGGGUUAAUACCCUGGGCUAAUGACGGUACCGUAAGAAUAAGCACCGGCUAACUACGUGCCAGCAGCCGCCGUAA
Molecule: ribosomal RNA, 498 nt
Filed under: uncultured bacterium
Lineage: Bacteria
Description: partial 16S ribosomal RNA
Rfam family: Bacterial small subunit ribosomal RNA
Source: RNAcentral